GACGAACGCUGGCGGCGUGCUUAACACAUGCAAGUCGAACGAGAGGAGAAGGAAGCUUGCUUCUUUCGAAUCUAGUGGCAAACGGGUGAGUAACACGUAAACAACCUGCCUUCAGGAUGGGGACAACAGACGGAAACGACUGCUAAUACCGAAUACGUUCCUUAGGUCGCAUGACUUUAGGAAGAAAGGGUGGCCUCUACUUGUAAGCUAUCGCCUGAAGAGGGGUUUGCGUCUGAUUAGGUAGUUGGUGAGGUAACGGCCCACCAAGCCGACGAUCAGUAGCCGGUCUGAGAGGAUGAACGGCCACACUGGAACUGAGACACGGUCCAGACUCCUACGGGAGGCAGCAGUGGGGAAUCUUCCGCAAUGGGCGAAAGCCUGACGGAGCAACGCCGCGUGAGUGAUGACGGCCUUCGGUUGUUAAAGACGUCUGUGAUCGGGACGAACGGUCAGCAGACGAAUACUCUGCUGAAGUGACGGUACCCGAACUAGCAAGCCACGG
Molecule: ribosomal RNA, 502 nt
Filed under: uncultured bacterium
Lineage: Bacteria
Description: bacterial SSU rRNA
Rfam family: Bacterial small subunit ribosomal RNA
Source: RNAcentral